UAUAUGCAUGUGUCUAUGACUCUUAUUACAUUAAUGGAAUAUUUCACUUAAAUUUUUUAUAAGGAAUAGAGGUAGAACCUCUUCCAUGAGAAUUAUGAGAAUGACGGCAACGUAAUAGCUAUAUUGAGUAGUAAUGUUAGCACUAUUUCAAGGCAGGGGGAGAUAUGGGCAGCAACGUAUGGAGGCAGAUCCGCUUGCGCUGGAGCAAAACACGGAGUACGAAGUAGAAGUUAUGUCCACGUCGGUUUCGUCCAGAUGAUGGAAAAUUGGAGAUUUCUUCAAAAUGAAUUAAAGUGGAAGGAGAGGAUUUCUUGUCAUAUAAGAUUGGGAAGCCCGAGAUCUGAUUUGUGGUUAGCUUGGAGCGAAUAAGGUACAGAUACUCGAUUUGGUGAUCCUCCAGCUUAGGAUUUCUACUCAGCUGUCUUGGAAAGCUCCAUUGUUCCGAAGCGUAGACCUUUGGUACAGAUCUUUUGAUAUAUGUAUAUAUGUUUAUCCAGGGGUACGACGGGGCCAUGUCCCGUCAUAUUUCACUGCUGAUACUCUUAGAGGUCUGUAGACAUAUGUGUGGGUUAUGUAUAAGUUUGUUCGGCUGUGUCUAUAUGAUGUGCUAUGGAUAUUGAUAUGUUGUGGCAGCCUUCUCGGCUUGCGUAUGAUAUUGAUAUGUUGUGGCAGCCUUGUCGGCUUGCGUAUGAUAUUAAUAUGUAGUGGCAGCCUUGUCGGCUUGCGUAUCAUAUUAUGUUUUGAUCAGUUGUGACUCCUUAGGAGACAGGUUAUCUGAGUAUGUGUAUAUAUGAUGACAUUAUGAACCUCUGGAGUUCCUUUGCAAG
Molecule: long non-coding RNA, 827 nt
Organism: Lycium barbarum (goji berry)
Lineage: Eukaryota; Viridiplantae; Streptophyta; Magnoliopsida; Solanales; Solanaceae
Exons: 3
Source: RefSeq, a predicted model, not a curated record